AAGGUUUUAAGUUAUUUAAACUAGUAGCCUUCAAAGCUAUCAAAAAAAAAUUUUUUUUUAAACCUUA
This 67-nucleotide transfer RNA is filed under the name Conocephalus differentus. RNAcentral describes it as "tRNA-Trp". The record is from RNAcentral. Lineage: Eukaryota; Metazoa; Arthropoda; Insecta; Orthoptera; Tettigoniidae.